AGGAAGUGGGUGAAAAUUUAGGUUGCGCCACAUUGCACGUUCUUUAGGUGGAUUCAAGACACCUGAUUGUCAAGGACUCUCACUGCCUUCUUUUUGUCUUCUUUGUGUCUUCUUCUAUCGGCUCUACACUGUAUUCUCCGUUUCCUUGUGUUUUGUUUGCCUCCUCCUACAUUCCUAUCUCCAUAGACAAAAAGCAGAGAGAUAGAGAGAUGGCUAAGGGUAAUGUUGUUUGUGAAGU
This 238-nucleotide unclassified non-coding RNA is filed under the name Hevea brasiliensis (rubber tree). Lineage: Eukaryota; Viridiplantae; Streptophyta; Magnoliopsida; Malpighiales; Euphorbiaceae. The record is from RNAcentral.